This 715-nucleotide ribosomal RNA is filed under the name uncultured bacterium. Its description in RNAcentral is "bacterial SSU rRNA". It matches the Rfam family "Bacterial small subunit ribosomal RNA", at positions 8 to 710 of the family's 1533-position model. The record is from RNAcentral.
AGAGUUUGAUCCUGGCUCAGAACGAACGCUAGCGGCGUGGAUAAGACAUGCAAGUCGGACGAGAAACUUUUGGAGCUUGCUUUGGAAGUUUCUAGUGGCGGACGGGUGAGUAACACGUGAGCAACCUGCCCUAAAGUGGGGGAUAGCCCGAGGAAACUCGGAUUAAUACCGCAUGUGAUGGUAACAUUAAAGGCGGCUACUUCGGUAGCUGUCGCUUUAGGAUGGGCUCGCGGCCUAUCAGCUAGUUGGUGAGGUAAUGGCUCACCAAGGCGAUGACGGGUAGCUGGUCUGAGAGGACGACCAGCCACACUGGAACUGAGACACGGUCCAGACACCUACGGGUGGCAGCAGUCGAGAAUCAUUCGCAAUGGGGGAAACCCUGACGGUGUGACGCCGCGUGGAGGAUGAAGGCCCUAGGGUCGUAAACUCCUGUCAUCAGGGAGUAAAAACUUAUGUAGUAACUGACAUGGGUCUUGAUAGUACCUGAAGAGGAAGGGACGGCUAACUUCGUGCCAGCAGCCGCGGUAAUACGAAGGUCCCAAGCGUUGUUCGGAUUUACUGGGCGUAAAGCGUCUGUAGGCGGCGUGGUAAGUCAGAUGUGAAAUCCCGGGGCUCAACCCCGGAACUGCAUCCGAUACUGCCAUGCUAGAGUAUUGGAGGGGAGUCUGGAAUUCUCGGUGUAGCAGUGAAAUGCGUAGAUAUCGAGAGGAACACU